RNAcentral lists this ribosomal RNA (460 nucleotides) under uncultured bacterium. RNAcentral's name for it is "partial 16S ribosomal RNA". It matches the Rfam family "Bacterial small subunit ribosomal RNA", at positions 338 to 795 of the family's 1533-position model. The record is from RNAcentral.
CCUACGGGUGGCAGCAGUGAGGAAUAUUGGUCAAUGGGCGCGAGCCUGAACCAGCCAAGUAGCGUGAAGGAUGACUGCCCUACGGGUUGUAAACUUCUUUUAUAAAGGAGUAAAGUGAGGCACGUGUGCCUUUUUGUAUGUACUUUAUGAAUAAGGAUCGGCUAACUACGUGCCAGCAGCCGCGGUAAUACGGAGGAUCCGAGCGUUAUCCGGAUUUAUUGGGUUUAAAGGGAGCGUAGAUGGGUUGUUAAGUCAGGUGUGAAAGCUUGAGGCUCAACUGUGAAAUUGCAAUUGAUACUGGUCAGCUAGAGUGCAGUUGUGGCAGGCGGAAGGUGUGGGGUAGCGGUGAAAUGCUUAGAUAUUAGAGAGAACACCGAGUGCGAAGGCAGCUUACUAAGCCACUACUGACGUUGAGGCUCGAAAGCGUGGGGAGCAAACAGGAUGAGAUACCCGGGUAGUC